UAGUCGGAGGUGUGUCUCGGACGGUCGGUUCGCCGCUUGUCGGUGCUCAACUGGCCGGUCCGGACGUCCUGCCGGUGGGGCCGUAAAAGGCCCCGUUAUCCUUCUUUGGUCCUCUUCACCGAGUGCCUUGGUGGGCCGGCACGUUUACUUUGAACAAAUUAGAGUGCUCAAAGCAGGCCGUUGGUCGCCUGAAUACCGUGUGCAUGGAAUAAUGGAAUAGGACCUCGGUUCCAUUUUGUUGGUUUUCAGAACUCGAGGUAAUGAUUAAUAGGGACGGACGGGGGCAUUCGUAUUGCGACGUUAGAGGUGAAAUUCUUGGAUCGUCGCAAGACGAACCGAUGCGAAAGCAUUUGCCAAGAACGUUUUCGUUGAUCAAGAACGAAAGUUAGAGGUUCGAAGGCGAUCAGAUACCGCCCUAGUUCUAACCAUAAACGAUGCCAGCUAGCCAUCCGCCGAAGUUCCUUCUAUGACUCGGCGGGCAGCUUCCGGGAAACCAAAGCUCUUGGGUUCCGGGGGAAGUAU
This 522-nucleotide ribosomal RNA is filed under the name Palaemnema domina. RNAcentral's name for it is "SSU rRNA". It matches the Rfam family "Eukaryotic small subunit ribosomal RNA", at positions 631 to 1126 of the family's 1831-position model. Lineage: Eukaryota; Metazoa; Arthropoda; Insecta; Odonata; Platystictidae. The record is from RNAcentral.